CCUACGGGUGGCAGCAGUGGGGAAUAUUGCACAAUGGGGGAAACCCUGAUGCAGCGACGCCGCGUGAGCGAUGAAGUAUUUCGGUAUGUAAAGCUCUAUCAGCAGGGAAGAAAAUGACGGUACCUGACUAAGAAGCCCCGGCUAACUACGUGCCAGCAGCCGCGGUAAUACGUAGGGGGCAAGCGUUAUCCGGAUUUACUGGGUGGAAAGGGAGCGUAGACGGCGAUGCAAGCCAGAUGUGAAAGCCCGGGGCUCAACCCCGGGACUGCAUUUGGAACUGUCUAGCUGGCGUGUCGGAGAGGCAGGCGGAAUUCCUAGUGUAGCGGUGAAAUGCGUAGAUAUUAGGAGGAACACCAGUGGCGAAGGCGGCCUGCUGGACGAUGACUGACGUUGAGGCUCGAAAGCGUGGGGAGCAAACAGGAUUAGAUACCCUUGUAGUC
This 440-nucleotide ribosomal RNA is filed under the name uncultured bacterium. RNAcentral describes it as "partial 16S ribosomal RNA". It matches the Rfam family "Bacterial small subunit ribosomal RNA", at positions 338 to 795 of the family's 1533-position model. The record is from RNAcentral.